This 253-nucleotide ribosomal RNA is filed under the name uncultured bacterium. Its description in RNAcentral is "partial 16S ribosomal RNA". It matches the Rfam family "Bacterial small subunit ribosomal RNA", at positions 524 to 776 of the family's 1533-position model. The record is from RNAcentral.
UACGAGAGGCCCAACCGUUAUUCGGAAUUACUGGGCUUAAAGAGUUCGUAGGCGGCAUUGCAAGUAGGGUGUGAAAGCCCUCGGCUCAACCGAGGAAUUGCGCUCUAAACUGCAGUGCUUGAGGAACCUAGAGGUGAGCAGAACAGAUGGUGGAGCGGUGAAAUGCGUUGAUAUCAUCUGGAAUACCGGAGGCGAAGGCGGCUCACUGGGAGUUUUCUGACGCUGAGGAGCGAAAGCGUGGGGAGCGAACAGG